RNAcentral lists this ribosomal RNA (354 nucleotides) under Dineutus priscus. RNAcentral describes it as "partial 12S ribosomal RNA". Lineage: Eukaryota; Metazoa; Arthropoda; Insecta; Coleoptera; Gyrinidae. The record is from RNAcentral.
UUAAAAUGUUAAUUUUUAAAACUAAAGUAGUAUCAGUUAUGUUCUUUAAAUUUAAAGAUUUUGGCGGUAUUUUAGUCUAUUCAGAGGAACCUGUUCUAUAAUUGAUAGUCCACGAUUAACUUUACUUAAAUUUAAAAGUUUGUAUAUCGUUGUUUAUAGAAAAUUUUUUAAGAAAAAUAAUUUUUAAUAAAUUUAAUUAAAUUGUAAAUCAAAUCAAGGUGCAGUUUAUAUUUAAGAAGAAAUGGGUUACAAUAAAAUUUAUUUAUACGGAUUUAUAAAUGAAAAUUAUAAUGAAGGAGGAUUUGAUAGUAAUUUUAUUUAAUUUAAUAAAAUGAUUUUAGCUCUAGAAUAUGU